RNAcentral lists this ribosomal RNA (253 nucleotides) under uncultured bacterium. Its description in RNAcentral is "partial 16S ribosomal RNA". It matches the Rfam family "Bacterial small subunit ribosomal RNA", at positions 524 to 776 of the family's 1533-position model. The record is from RNAcentral.
UACGUAGGGGGCAGGCGUUGUCCGGAUUUAUUGGGCGUAAAGAGCGUGUAGGCGGCCAGGGAGGUCCGUUGUGAAAACUCGAGGCUCAACCUCGAGACGCCGAUGGAAACCCCCUGGCUAGAGUCCGGAAGAGGAGAGUGGAAUUCCUGGUGUAGCGGUGAAAUGCGCAGAUAUCAGGAAGAGCACCUAUGGCGAAAGCAGCUCUCUGGGACGGUACUGACGCUGAGACGCGAAAGCGUGGGGAGCGAACAGG